This 1092-nucleotide long non-coding RNA is filed under the name Oryza sativa Indica Group (long-grained rice). Its description in RNAcentral is "lncRNA OsMH63_09G009130". The record is from RNAcentral. Lineage: Eukaryota; Viridiplantae; Streptophyta; Magnoliopsida; Poales; Poaceae.
UCUAUUGAAAACUGGGGUCUUCGUGAUAAGGUUUUUAGUGUUGUAUUGGAUGAUGAGUUUGUUGAUGAUUCAGUUGCUUCAAAUGUCGAAUCCCAUCUCCAGAAAUGGAACUCCCACUGCGCAAACCAGAGCUUGUUUGUGGUUAUUCAAGUGGGGCUGGAUGAACUUGACAAAAUCGUGGAGAAGUCAAUGAAUUGUUCUGAGAGCACGGAGGGCCUCACCUCUUCAGAAGUAAAAUAUGCAAACUACAACUAUGCAGCAUCAGGGAAAGACUGGAGCUGUGCACGUCGUAUUUGUGAUACCUUGGAGGAUUUUCAUCGGUAUAUGGACAUAAUGCCAAUUUUCCCUGUCCCGUGGACCUCUUUGAGAAGGGAUGAUGCAUUUGCUACUGUGGUAAAGAAGAUGCAAGAGAAGUUCAAGAAAUGCUGGAAACUUUGUUGCUUACAUUUCUAUAUGGCCAUGAUCGUUGAUCCUUCAUAUCGUCUGGAAAACAUCAAACUUCAUGUUGACCUGCACACUGACACAGAUUAUAUUCGUUGUAUGGAUGAUAUAUUGCUCAGGCUCUUUGAUGAAUAUUCUGGCAAGGUGGAAGAUUCUAACUGUACUAAGGAGACUAGAAAUGAAAUCAAUGUGAGCAGAGAUGAUGAUCGGUUGAAAUAUUACCGUCGUUAUGGAUAUCCAAUUUGUGAGCGACCGAUGACUGAGCUUGAUCAGUACUUGCAAGAGCCAUGCCUCUCUGGAGGUGAGCGUGAUGUUCUUCACUGGUGGAAGGAACAUAACCUGACCUAUCCAACGGUUGCUCGGAUGGCACGUGACAUAUUGGCCAUGCCAUGUCGUACUGAUUGCAAUGUAGCAAUAAGAACUGCAAAGUUUGCUAUAUUUGAAUCACGUAAACACCAUAUUGAAAAGCUCGUUUGUUUGCAGGAUUGGCUCACAACUGACGGUUCUGCUAGCCAGAAGUCGACGAAUGGUAGUACUGAGUGAAGUUAAUCUUCAAAUCUCAAAAGGAGAACGGUUCCAUGAUUCAUCUAUGACAAAAAUGCACAGAAAACGACUUUGAUCAGACAAUUUUGGGCACAAUGCCAAGUUCAU